AGACUCAGAUGGAUAAAUGAGGAGGAUAGGAACACGAAAUUAUUCCACCACAUGGCAAAUCACCACAAGAGAACCAAUUAUGUGGAGGAGAUCGAAAUGGUUGGUUAGUGAAAGGUAAUGAGCAAUUGAGGUAAGGGGUCAUAGAAUUCUUUUGCACAUUAUAUCAUGAGGAGUUCAAUUGGAGAAACAAGUUGGAUGGUUUGAACUUCAUGUCUUUGAAUGAGUAAAAUUGGGAAUCACUUGAAA
Molecule: long non-coding RNA, 246 nt
Filed under: Carica papaya (papaya)
Lineage: Eukaryota; Viridiplantae; Streptophyta; Magnoliopsida; Brassicales; Caricaceae
Description: long non-coding RNA (CPAP_LNC015950)
Source: RNAcentral